Molecule: long non-coding RNA, 249 nt
Organism: Helianthus annuus (common sunflower)
Lineage: Eukaryota; Viridiplantae; Streptophyta; Magnoliopsida; Asterales; Asteraceae
Exons: 3
Source: RefSeq, a predicted model, not a curated record
AUCGACCAGGAGAAAGAGCAGAGGGGUGUAAACCCUAGCUCUCAAGAACAACAACACAAAUUCAGCCCAAUCAAAGACAAAAUCGAAUGGAAAGCAUUGCAGGGAUGAAUAUUUCUCACUAUCUAAUCCUAACAAACAUAUGGUAUCGCAUGAGCAUGGAAGGCAAAUGGGUCAAGAUGAGGCAAGGAAGCGGUUACGAACACGGAUGCACAAGGACCUUAGGUACAUAUGGAGCUUGCACAGGGAGGA